RNAcentral lists this RNase P RNA (410 nucleotides) under Oscillospiraceae bacterium. Its description in RNAcentral is "RNase P RNA component class A". It matches the Rfam family "Bacterial RNase P class A". Rfam says of the family: Ribonuclease P (RNase P) is a ubiquitous endoribonuclease, found in archaea, bacteria and eukarya as well as chloroplasts and mitochondria. Its best characterised activity is the generation of mature 5'-ends of tRNAs by cleaving the 5'-leader elements of precursor-tRNAs. Cellular RNase Ps are ribonucleoproteins. Lineage: Bacteria; Bacillati; Bacillota; Clostridia; Eubacteriales; Oscillospiraceae. The record is from RNAcentral.
UGAGUAAGCCGGGCAGCCGCGGGAGAUGUGCCGAAAGGCCGCUAACGAGGAAAGUCCGGGCUCCGCAGGGCAAGGAUAACGGGUAACGCCCGCCGAAGGCGACUUCAGGACAAGUGCAACAGAGAUAUACCGCCUUGCAGAGGACAGGGGCAGAGGAGCCGGACCGCAGGUUUUUGCGCUCAGUUCCCCGAUUCCUGUUCUCUGUCCAGGGCAAGGGUGGAAAGGCGAGGUAAGAGCUCACCCGGCGGCUGGAGACAGACCGCCGCUGUAAACUCUAUCCGGAGCAACACCGCGGGAGAGCAAAAGGCCGGCCCGGCCGCUCUCAGGAGGUGGCUUGAGCCCAUUGGCAACGAUGGGCCUAGAUAGAUGGCUGUCCAAGACAGAAUCCGGCUUACAGGCUUACUCACGAG